AGUGAACGCUGGCGGUAGGCCUAACACGUGCAAGUCGAACGGCAGCACAGUAAGAGCUUGCUCUUACGGGUGGCGAGUGGCGGACGGGUGAGGAAUACAUCGGAAUCUACUUUUUCGUGGGGGAUAACGUAGGGAAACUUACGCUAAUACCGCAUACGACCUACGGGUGAAAGCAGGGGAUCUUCGGACCUUGCGCGAUUGAAUGAGCCGAUGUCGGAUUAGCUAGUUGGCGGGGUAAAGGCCCACCAAGGCGACGAUCCGUAGCUGGUCUGAGAGGAUGAUCAGCCACACUGGAACUGAGACACGGUCCAGACUCCUACGGGAGGCAGCAGUGGGGAAUAUUGGACAAUGGGCGCAAGCCUGAUCCAGCCAUACCGCGUGGGUGAAGAAGGCCUUCGGGUUGUAAAGCCCUUUUGUUGGGAAGGAAAAGCAGCAGGUUAAUACCCCGCUGUUCUGACGGUACCCAAAGAAUAAGCACCGGCUAACUUCGUG
RNAcentral lists this ribosomal RNA (492 nucleotides) under uncultured bacterium. Its description in RNAcentral is "partial 16S ribosomal RNA". It matches the Rfam family "Bacterial small subunit ribosomal RNA", at positions 29 to 507 of the family's 1533-position model. The record is from RNAcentral.